UUUGAUAUUAUUUUUCACACA
RNAcentral lists this non-coding RNA (21 nucleotides) under Caenorhabditis elegans. Lineage: Eukaryota; Metazoa; Nematoda; Chromadorea; Rhabditida; Rhabditidae. The record is from RNAcentral.